GACGAACGCUGGCGGCGUGCCUAAUACAUGCAAGUAGAACGCUGAAGGAGGAGCUUGCUCUUCUGGAUGAGUUGCGAACGGGUGAGUAACGCGUAGGUAACCUGCCUGGUAGCGGGGGAUAACUAUUGGAAACGAUAGCUAAUACCGCAUAACAGUAGAUAUCGCAUGAUAGCUGCUUGAAAGGUGCAAUUGCACCACUACCAGAUGGACCUGCGUUGUAUUAGCUAGUUGGUGAGGUAACGGCUCACCAAGGCAACGAUACAUAGCCGACCUGAGAGGGUGAUCGGCCACACUGGGACUGAGACACGGCCCAGACUCCUACGGGAGGCAGCAGUAGGGAAUCUUCGGCAAUGGACGGAAGUCUGACCGAGCAACGCCGCGUGAGUGAAGAAGGUCUUCGGAUCGUAAAGCUCUGUUGUAAGAGAAGAACGAGUGUGAGAGUGGAAAGUUCACACUGUGACGGUAUCUUACCAGAAAGGGG
RNAcentral lists this ribosomal RNA (481 nucleotides) under Streptococcus infantis. Its description in RNAcentral is "bacterial SSU rRNA". It matches the Rfam family "Bacterial small subunit ribosomal RNA", at positions 28 to 493 of the family's 1533-position model. Lineage: Bacteria; Bacillati; Bacillota; Bacilli; Lactobacillales; Streptococcaceae. The record is from RNAcentral.